CAAAUCUGAGGCCCGCAUAGGGUCUAUAUGUUCGAGGCAGCAAUGCUUCGUGACAUUUACGCUUGUAUGUUUGACAGAGUUAGUGUGACACAUAAACAAAGA
This 102-nucleotide unclassified non-coding RNA is filed under the name uncultured fungus. RNAcentral's name for it is "sequence contains ITS1". The record is from RNAcentral. Lineage: Eukaryota; Fungi.